AUUCCAGCUCCAAUAGCGUAUAUUAAAGUUGUUGCAGUUAAAAAGCUCGUAGUUGGAUUUCUGGCAGGAUGACUUUGCCCUCUGUAGAGUGCGCAAUGCUGUCCUACCAUCCUUCUGUUAACCCUGGAGGCCUUUAACAGCUUGUAGGGGGCUCAGAUAUUUUACCUUGAGAAAAUUAGAGUGUUUCAGGCAGGCUAGCGCCGGAAUACAUUAGCAUGGAAUAAUAGAAUAGGACUUAAGCCUCUUCUGUUGGUCUGAGGGGUGUAAGUAAUGAUUAAUAGGGAUAGUUGGGGGCAUUAGUACUUAACUGUCAGAGGUGAAAUUCUCGGAUUUGUUAAAGACUAACUUAUGCGAAAGCAUUUGCCAAGGAUGUUUUCAUCA
Molecule: ribosomal RNA, 381 nt
Filed under: Strobilidiidae sp.
Lineage: Eukaryota; Ciliophora; Spirotrichea; Choreotrichida; Strobilidiidae
Description: partial small subunit ribosomal RNA
Rfam family: Eukaryotic small subunit ribosomal RNA
Source: RNAcentral